This 329-nucleotide ribosomal RNA is filed under the name Pantoea sp. RNAcentral describes it as "bacterial SSU rRNA". It matches the Rfam family "Bacterial small subunit ribosomal RNA", at positions 1033 to 1362 of the family's 1533-position model. Lineage: Bacteria; Pseudomonadati; Pseudomonadota; Gammaproteobacteria; Enterobacterales; Erwiniaceae. The record is from RNAcentral.
GACAGGUGCUGCAUGGCUGUCGUCAGCUCGUGUUGUGAAAUGUUGGGUUAAGUCCCGCAACGAGCGCAACCCUUAUCCUUUGUUGCCAGCGAUUCGGUCGGGAACUCAAAGGAGACUGCCGGUGAUAAACCGGAGGAAGGUGGGGAUGACGUCAAGUCAUCAUGGCCCUUACGAGUAGGGCUACACACGUGCUACAAUGGCGCAUACAAAGAGAAGCGACCUCGCGAGAGCAAGCGGACCUCACAAAGUGCGUCGUAGUCCGGAUCGGAGUCUGCAACUCGACUCCGUGAAGUCGGAAUCGCUAGUAAUCGUGGAUCAGAAUGCCACGG